RNAcentral lists this small RNA (117 nucleotides) under Marmota monax (woodchuck). The record is from RNAcentral. Lineage: Eukaryota; Metazoa; Chordata; Mammalia; Rodentia; Sciuridae.
GCCAGGUGUGUGGUGGCAUGCACCUGUCAUCCCAGCAUUCAGGAGGCAGAGACUGGAGGAUCGCUUGAGCUCAGGGGUUUGAGACCAGCCUGGGCAUCACAGUGAUACUCCUCUCCU